Molecule: ribosomal RNA, 463 nt
Filed under: uncultured bacterium
Lineage: Bacteria
Description: partial 16S ribosomal RNA
Rfam family: Bacterial small subunit ribosomal RNA
Source: RNAcentral
GACGAACGCUGGCGGCGUGCUUAACACAUGCAAGUCGAACGGAAAGGCCUUUUCGGAGGUACUCGAGUGGCGAACGGGUGAGUAACACGUGGGUGAUCUGCCCUGCACUCUGGGAUAAGCCUGGGAAACUGGGUCUAAUACCGGAUAGGACCGCACUUUAGUGUGUGUGGUGGAAAGUUUUUUCGGCGUAGGAUGAGCCCGCGGCCUAUCAGCUUGUUGGUGGGGUAAUGGCCUACCAAGGCGGCGACGGGUAGCCGGACUGAGAGGCUGGUCGGCCACAUUGGGACUGAGAUACGGCCCAGACUCCUACGGGAGGCAGCAGUGGGGAAUAUUGCACAAUGGGCGCAAGCCUGAUGCAGCGACGCCGCGUGGGGGAUGACGGCCUUCGGGUUGUAAACUCCUUUCGCCAGGGACGAAGCGUUUUGUGACGGUACCUGGAGAAGAAGCACCGGCUAACUACGUG